GACGGAGGGGGCUAGCGUUGUUCGGAAUUACUGGGCGUAAAGGGCGCGUAGGCGCCAAUCAGGUUAGGCGUGAAAUCCCUGGGCUUAACCCAGGAACUGCGUUUAAUACUGAUUGGCUAGAGAUUGGUAGAGGAAAAGUGGAAUUCCUAGUGUAGAGGUGAAAUUCGUAGAUAUUAGGAAGAACACCAGAGGCGAAGGCGACUUUCUGGGCCAAUACUGACGCUGAGGCGCGAAAAGCGUGGGGAGCAAACAGG
Molecule: ribosomal RNA, 254 nt
Filed under: uncultured bacterium
Lineage: Bacteria
Description: partial 16S ribosomal RNA
Rfam family: Bacterial small subunit ribosomal RNA
Source: RNAcentral